UACGUAUGGAGCAAGCGUUAUCCGGAUUUACUGGGUGUAAAGGGAGCGCAGGCGGCCUGGCAAGUCUGAUGUGAAAGGCCGGGGCUCAACUCCGGGACUGCAUUGGAAACUGUCAGACUGGAGUGUCGGAGAGGUAAGCGGAAUUCCUAGUGUAGCGGUGAAAUGCGUAGAUAUUAGGAGGAACACCAGUGGCGAAGGCGGCUUACUGGACGAUGACUGACGCUGAGGCUCGAAAGCGUGGGGAGCAAACAGG
This 253-nucleotide ribosomal RNA is filed under the name uncultured bacterium. RNAcentral's name for it is "partial 16S ribosomal RNA". It matches the Rfam family "Bacterial small subunit ribosomal RNA", at positions 524 to 776 of the family's 1533-position model. The record is from RNAcentral.